Haemonchus placei is the source of this 75-nucleotide non-coding RNA. The record is from Rfam. Lineage: Eukaryota; Metazoa; Nematoda; Chromadorea; Rhabditida; Trichostrongylidae.
GGCACAAACUUGGUGAAAAGUAGAUUAGUAGGGUCAGGUGAUACUACUAAUCUACUCCACUUCAAGUUUGUGCCC